This 253-nucleotide ribosomal RNA is filed under the name uncultured bacterium. RNAcentral describes it as "partial 16S ribosomal RNA". It matches the Rfam family "Bacterial small subunit ribosomal RNA", at positions 524 to 776 of the family's 1533-position model. The record is from RNAcentral.
UACAGAGGGGGCAAGCGUUGUUCGGAAUUACUGGGCGUAAAGGGCGCGUAGGCGGCCUGUUAAGUCGAACGUGAAAUCCCCGGGCCCAACCCGGGAACUGCGUCCGAUACUGGCAGGCUUGAAUCCGGGAGAGGGAUGCGGAAUUCCAGGUGUAGCGGUGAAAUGCGUAGAUAUCUGGAGGAACACCGGUGGCGAAGGCGGCAUCCUGGACCGGCAUUGACGCUGAGGCGCGAAAGCCAGGGGAGCAAACGGG